GAAAUAAAAAGAAAAAUACCAAGAGGGAGGUUUGGUCUAUAUGAAGUAUAAACACCUCCAGGCUAGCUCCACUGAAACAACAAGCAGCAAGUGCUGGGGCUAGAUAAGUUAGGAGGAAGCCUUGGCCCCAGCCACAAGAAUUUUUAUCUCCAGCACAGUAUAGAGAGUCAGCUGUCUAAGGAGGGGAAGAUUGAGGGAACCACUAUUAAUAAGAGAAGUCAGACCCAUCUCUGCUGUGGAGGUGCAGCUCUGGGAGAAAAGGAAUCAGCACACAGUGGAGCAAGGAUGCUACUGACUGCAGGCUCUUACAGGAGGGUUUUCUUGGUUUUGAUUCCAAAUCAGAGGGGAGAAUUGAAGGAAGACCUGAGGCCAGAGACACCAUUCCACAUAUCCCAGGAUUAGAGGUAAUUACACUUGCAAAGUGCUAUAAAAUGUUUUAACAGACAAAGGAGGAAGAACCCAACCAUAGAAAGUCACUUUGGAAAUAGAGAAGACUGGGGUUUGUCUUAAGAGAAGGAUACUGAAGCAAAAAGGGGGCGGAUCUUCUAUACCAGAGUAAUGUCAAAUUGUUAUCUGUCCAAAAAGAAUCCAUAGAAGAGCUCAAAAUACUUUAAAAAUCAAAUGAAAGAGAUUGAAGAAAAUUUUUUAAAAUGAGAACAACUCUCCAAAAAAGGAAGUCAUCUAACUGGAAAAGGAGAUUCAGAAUCUUUUAGAAGAAAACAAUGUCUUGAAAAUUAGAACUAGGCAAUAAAAAGCCAGCAAAGUCAUGAAAGGCUAAGAAAUAAUAAAGCAAAAUGCAAAGAAUGAAAAAAUAGAAGAGAAUGUGAGACAUCUCAUAAGGAAAAUAACUGAUCUGGAGAUCAGGUCCAGAAAAAAAUCAUAAGAAUAAUUGGACUACCUGAAAACUAUGAUCAAUAAAAGAAAUAUGCAAUAAUAUAAAAAUAUUUAGAGAAAAUUAUGCUGAAGUGUUAGAACUAGAGAAGAAAGUAGAAAAAGAAAAAAGAAUGCAUCAAUCACCAUCUGAAAGAUAUCCAAGAAAACUUAUAGGAAUAGCAUAGCCAAAUUUCAAAAUCCUCUGAUCAAGGAGAAAAUGUUACAAGCAACAAGAAAAAACCUAUUCAAAUAUGGGGGGAACCAUAAUUAGAAUCACACAAAACCUAGAAAUGGCUACAUUAAAAAACCACAGAUCUUGGACUCCUGUAUAUCAGACAGCAGCAAAAAAACUGGGGUUACAGCUGGAAAUAAUCCCACCCAGCAAAGUUUAUCAUAAUCCUGAGCAGAAAAAAAACCAAGAUAUUCAAUCAAUUUCCAGACUUUCAGGAUUUUGUUGCAAAAUGACUUAAAUCAAAAAUUUGAUAUAAAAGGUCUAAGAGAAAUAUAAGGUCUGUACUCUAUCUGCUGCACCAACUAGGUCUGAGUUUGACUAUCGGGAAUGUACCUUAUCGGGUUGAUUUGUCAUUCAGGAGAACAUGGCCCCAAACCUGAGUGGAUCACUUUCACUAUCAGAACAUAGGCUUGGGAGGUCCUAUGGUCUGGAGGAAGAAGCCCUGGGUGAGUGGCAGGAAGAUAGCCAGGAUGAGUGAUGGAAGGAGAUGCGAGCCACAAAGUGGAAAUAAAGGCAAACGAGUUAUUUUUAAUUUUCCAUCAGGGCCAGGACCACAUCGUUGAGCAUUCCACCAGAGACUUCCUUCCAAGUAGCACUGAGUCUCUGGACCCAGUCAUACUCUGGUUUCAAGUCUCAGCUAAAAUCCCACAGGAAGCCUUCCUCAGGCCUGUUAAUUAUAUUGCCUCGCCCGCUGUUAAUUUCCUAUUUAUCUUGUAUACAGUUACUUUGUAUGUAUGUGUUUGCAUGUUGUCUCUCCCACUAGAUAAUAAACUCUUUUAGAGCG
Long non-coding RNA from Antechinus flavipes (yellow-footed antechinus), 1889 nucleotides. RefSeq lists it as uncharacterized. The record is from RefSeq and is a predicted model, not a curated record. NCBI's taxonomy places the organism in Eukaryota, Metazoa, Chordata, Mammalia, Dasyuromorphia, Dasyuridae. The transcript has 2 exons.